RNAcentral lists this ribosomal RNA (293 nucleotides) under uncultured bacterium. Its description in RNAcentral is "partial 16S ribosomal RNA". The record is from RNAcentral.
GGACUACCCGGGUAUCUAAUCCUGUUCGCUCCCCACGCUUUCGCUCCUCAGCGUCAGUGUCGGCCCAGACCACCGCCUUCGCUGCUGGUGUUCCUCCUGAUAUCUGCGCAUUUCACCGCUACACCAGGAAUUCCGUGGUCCCCUACCGAACUCUAGUCACGACAGUAUCGAGUGGCAGCUCCAGGUUGAGCCUGGAGAUUUCACACCCGACUUAUCGAACCGCCUACGAGCUCUUUACGCCCAAUAAAUCCGGACAACGCUUGCACCCUACGUAUUACCGCGGCUGCUGGCAC